Long non-coding RNA from Sander lucioperca (pikeperch), 105 nucleotides. RefSeq lists it as uncharacterized. NCBI's taxonomy places the organism in Eukaryota, Metazoa, Chordata, Actinopteri, Perciformes, Percidae. The record is from RefSeq and is a predicted model, not a curated record. The transcript is spliced from 3 exons.
GCCAGAGCCUUCAUCAGCAGCAGGUUGUCCUGAUCUCUUGUUCUUACAUCUUUUAUAUAUCAGGACACCACCCACUGCAGCAGCUACAAAAAAUAGUGCAACUGC